AAUUAUGGACAAUGGGGGAAACCCUGAUCCAGCCAUCCCGCGUGUGCGAUGAAGGCCUUCGGGUUGUAAAGCACUUUUGGCAGGGAAGAAAAGGUUCUGGCUACUACCCGGAACUGCUGACGGUACCUGCCGAAUAAGCACCGGCAAACUACGUGCCAGCCGCCGCGGUCGUACGGAGGGUGCAAGCGGUAAUCGGAAUCACUGGGCGUAAAGCUUGUGUAGGCGGUUCGGAAAGAAAGAUGUGAAAUCCCAGGGCUCAACCUUGGAACUGCAUUUUUAACUGCCGAGCUAGAGUAUGUCAGAGGGGGGUAGAAUUCCACGUGUAGCAGUUAAAUGCGUAGAUAUGUGGAGGAAUACCGAUGGCGAAGGCAGCCCCCUGGGAUAAUACUGACUCUCAGACACGAAAGCGUGGGGAGCAAACAGG
RNAcentral lists this ribosomal RNA (424 nucleotides) under uncultured bacterium. RNAcentral describes it as "partial 16S ribosomal RNA". It matches the Rfam family "Bacterial small subunit ribosomal RNA", at positions 360 to 776 of the family's 1533-position model. The record is from RNAcentral.